This is a long non-coding RNA of Olea europaea var. sylvestris, 577 nucleotides long. RefSeq lists it as uncharacterized. The record is from RefSeq and is a predicted model, not a curated record. The transcript has 2 exons. Lineage: Eukaryota; Viridiplantae; Streptophyta; Magnoliopsida; Lamiales; Oleaceae.
CAUUCUCAUUAGACAUAACCUGCUUUCCUUUUCUCUUCUUGUUUCCCCAUAAUCACUCACACAUUCUUAUAGUAGGAAGAUGAAAAAGUUAGUCCAAUCCAUUUCAACCUACUUAAAUAAAUGUGUUGUGUUAGGUGCUAUUUUGUAGGUAGAGCUGCAGCCAACUGACAACUGUGUAUUAAAUAUGGUCUUACAAACUCGUUGCUUUAAAUCAUAUAGAUAAAUGUAGCCUUCAAGUUUAAGAACAAGAGAAAAUCUCGGAAAGGAAAAAUGAAACAAGCACCGGAACAUCAAAACAUGCCGUAUUCAGAUCACAUCCAAAAACGUCGUCAAGAAAAGGGAUGCCUCUAUGCUUGGUUGUUCGAAUUUUGUUGCUGUUGUUGCUGUGCCGAGGCUUGUGAAUGCUGCUGUUUGGACAGUGCUUCUUGUUGCUGCAUUUAAACUUUAAGGGGUUUCAUAAUGUCAAAGCCUGAAAUAAUUUUUACAUAUCCCUUUUGUUAGUUUAGUUCCAAAAUAUUGAAUGAAUUGCAGUACAUCUGUAUCUAUUUUGAAUAAAGAUGUAACUUUUUAUUGAAUU